CUCUACCAUGGCCAUCCUUCUCAUCACAGAGGCUGUUGGGGAAACCAAGGGCAGCCUCCCACCACCUCCAGUAGCCCUGGCAUACAUGUUUCUAUCUCCUCUCCCUCAAACAAAGCCAGGGGGACCUCACAAUGAGUGCCAUUGAAGAGAUAAGCAUGCUCUCCUCCGUUGUUGACUUUUGAGUGGCAUUUCCUCCACCAGGAAUGUGCCCCACAACAAGUUGCUGCAUUACAAGCUGGACUCACUCUAUUUUUUGCCAUGUAAACUGAGGACUUUCUGACUGCAACAACUUAUUUUCCUGGUUAUCCUCCACAAGGGGGAACUGAUCUCAGUAAAGGCUUCUCUGGGUUGCUCCCGACAAAAGGAAUAUGAAAAAAGAUGAUGUAUAAACACGAUGGAUCUUUUGCCCAAGUUAAAGGAGUAAGCAGGACAGCAGAGUGGGUGGAGAGGCCAAGACAACAGGGAGGCACAGCUCAAGAUAUUUCAUGGAGGGCAACCCAAGACAGCCAACCAGCACCUUCCUGUCGGUUUGAUGUCCUUCGUGGCUUUGUUUUCCUCCACGCAGGCUGCCAAGGAAGCAGCUGCGCUCAGAGGUGCAAAGGAAGAGGUCAGGGUGAGGAGGUGAAAAGGAAUUCCUGCUGUCUGCUGCUAUCUGCCCCUACUUGCACCUGAGCCAGCCACUUCAGGUCUUGUUUUCUGUUGCGGAACUCAUACAGACUCAGCCUCAUCUCAGUGCGAGGCCUCACCAGCGGCCAGGCAACUCCAGGAGGAGAAGCUGCCAUGCACGAGGACAGAGCUGGCACCUCACAGUAUUCUGCAGGGAGCCCAGGUCUCUGUGCUUGCUUCUCACAGGCAUUACAGC
This 862-nucleotide long non-coding RNA is filed under the name Numida meleagris (helmeted guineafowl). RNAcentral describes it as "lncRNA (ENSNMEG00000022518.1)". The record is from RNAcentral. Lineage: Eukaryota; Metazoa; Chordata; Aves; Galliformes; Numididae.